GUGAAAGGAGCAGACUUACUAAAAGCACAUCGCCACCAUAGAAAGUCAUCCAACUGUUGAAUAGGAUAGAGCACAGAGAAAUCUACUAUCUUGAGGAGAAGAUAACUGACAUCAAAAUAAGAUUGAACGUCCUUGUAAUAAAUUUGGAAUUAUGAAAAAGAGCUUAAGCUACUUGAGGUACUUCCAACGUCCUCAGUUUGCCUGGCAAUAUUCACCAAAUGGCAAGCCAGGAGGCAAAGAUUUACAUUCACUUAACUGACCAUCUGAUUGUCCCUACUGAAAUUUAGCUUAGCCAGUCCACCUCACCGAAAGUAAAAAUAGGUUCUGCCGUCAACACAACACUAAACACACGGAAACGACUGAAGAUUUGAAAGAAUAAAUCAUGACUUAGAGUAACUUCUGUUGAGGAAACAAAUUAUUUAAUCAAUGCAUUUACAUAAUCCAGCCAGGCUAAGAUAUUAAUUCAAAUUCUACUACUUUGUUUCUUCUCCUACAAUAUUAACACUUUGUACUUUCACACCUCUGGUUAUUCACAGGAGAAGAAAGUUCAUCUGAGAAAAACUAUUUAAUUGAAUUCAACAAAGAAGUAUCCAGUCCCUACUGAUUUUUUAAAUAUUAUUUUAAGAUCUACAAAUCACUUUACAUUCACUGGACCCUCACAGCAACUCUAUGAGAAACGGACAGCCCAGGACCAUGGAUGCAAAAACCCUGGUUGCAGUAGAACUCCACUGGCCCAGCUUUGAGCCUACUCUUCACCACCAUCAGCCAAAAAUUCAGCCCUUGUGGAGACUUGACCUAGCAACUGCUUCUUCAAGUCUACUAACUCCAACCCCCUCAAAAGACACAAUUGUUUAGAGACCUGGUAAAGAAAAGUUUGGCCAUCAAAAUCCUUAGCACUGUCAAAUGGUUCAACGUCAAAAAAUAAAUAUGGCUUUAUCAGUGGAAAUAUGGCAUUCAAGAUGCAGCAUUACCACCCACUUUGAUUAUCUGCCCUAUGGACUAUGAUAUGUAUUAUUACAGUGAUCAAGCCUGACUAUGAAUGAAAAAGAGAGAAAGACCUCCUCUGCAGAGGUGGGGAGGACUAUGGGUAAGAACAACACAUUUUAUCAGACUGGUGUGUUGGUUAUUUUUGCUGAACUGCUUUUUUGCCUUCUCUUUCUUUCCUGCUUUCUUUCUUUUU
Molecule: non-coding RNA, 1180 nt
Organism: Phascolarctos cinereus (koala)
Lineage: Eukaryota; Metazoa; Chordata; Mammalia; Diprotodontia; Phascolarctidae
Source: RefSeq, a predicted model, not a curated record